This is a non-coding RNA of Caenorhabditis elegans, 21 nucleotides long. Lineage: Eukaryota; Metazoa; Nematoda; Chromadorea; Rhabditida; Rhabditidae. The record is from Ensembl.
UCGCAGUAGGAUAUUAAUAAA